CUAUUCCUCACUGAGGCUCGCUCGUUCUUCUCCCUCGCUCGGUCUUCUCACCAAGGAGUCCGCCUUCUUCUUCUCCGGCCGUCUCAGCCGCCGGUGAGGCUGCCUCCGGCCUAGGACGCCAUUGCUUUCUCAGUUUUCUCUCUCAGUUUCUCAAUUUGUGAAACAUCAAGAGAGCCCUAAUUUUCUCCUCUGAAAUCGAAAUCGCCACUGCCCUAAUUCUCUCCCUCGCGCUCCUUCUUCCUCUCUCUGUAAUUCUGGAGUCGCGCUGCCGCCUGGUCUCUGUAAUUCCGGCAAGAGAGCGAGCCCUUGCCUCUCUGUAAGAUCCCGUCUGAAUCCGGCGCCGUUUGUGGGAUCUGGUUUGCAAUUUGGGAUUUCUUGAACAUUUUUGUGCUUUGCGAUUUUUGUGGUUUGCGAUUUGAGAUCUGGUUUGCGGUUUGUAAUAUCCCCGUCUGAAUCCCUCGUCUGAAUCCAACACCGGCGUCGCAGUCACCGUCGCCGACACCGUCCGCGAUUUGGGUCCGCGAUUUGGGGGUUGGUUCGACAGGAGAGAGAGAGCUCGACGUAGGUGAAGUCAGAUGUGGGUGUCUGGUUCGCGAUGAUAGGACGGUGAGGGGCGAUCGCCGUCGCCGGCGCCGUCGUCGUCGUCGCCGGCGUCCAGGUGCAGUGAGAAGGAGAAGAAGUCAGAUGGUGGAAAGUAAUUACUCUCAUUAAACUUGGUGGACCACACUCAAUUAACUCAUAACACUAAGUUUCUUAAUCUCCGUGCCCAAAUAAAAGUGGCCACUUUUAUUGGGACGGAGGGAGUAACUAAUAUCAUUAUAUCAACUCAAUUUUGGGCUAAAAUCAGUGAGCCCAAAUAUCAGCCCAGUAACCUUACUCAAACCUUAAUUUGUAAUAAAUAUAUCCACUUCACCCACUCAAACCCUAAUUUGUACACUAUAAAUAUAUCCACUUCACCCACUCAGCUAAAAAAAUUGCAGCCUCACCUCUUCUCUCUCUCACAAAAUUUCGCAGCCUCACCUCUUCUCUCUCUCUAUAUACUCGCAGCCUCUCUCCAUUCUAUAUGCUUCUAGUUUUGAAAAUAUACAUAUAGGUAUAAGAUUUACAUAGAAGCUAUAGAUGUUGUUGCGAUUCAUUUUAUUUGUUUUUGUUUGGUUUUUGUAUAGAUUUUGCUGCAAUUUAUUUUAUUUUUUUGGUUUAAUUUUUGUGAUUAUUUUGGUAGAUCUAUUAAUAUCUACACAAAGUAUUGCUUAAAACAAAAGUUCUUUAUUUUUUCUUUGAUUAUUUUUUCGAUUACUUGAGUUUAUUCCUUUAAUUUGAUAGAUCU
RNAcentral lists this long non-coding RNA (1327 nucleotides) under Salvia miltiorrhiza (redroot sage). RNAcentral describes it as "long non-coding RNA (SMIL_LNC013774)". The record is from RNAcentral. Lineage: Eukaryota; Viridiplantae; Streptophyta; Magnoliopsida; Lamiales; Lamiaceae.